Molecule: long non-coding RNA, 1291 nt
Filed under: Canis lupus familiaris (dog)
Lineage: Eukaryota; Metazoa; Chordata; Mammalia; Carnivora; Canidae
Description: lncRNA (ENSCAFG00845024324.1)
Source: RNAcentral
AUGGGGAAGGAAGUGUUCUUAACCAGGAAAAUAGCUUUGUGGCCUACGAGGGGAGAGAGGCCCCAGGGAAAGGUCCCGGCCCCUCCCCAGUUCCAAGGGGCCCACUUGCUCUUCAUCUCGCUGGACCUUGGAUUCCUGGCUAUAGUCCCUGGCUUUGAUAUUUGCUUCUGCUGUCUGGAGUUUGGCAACUCAUCACAUUCUCCUUGCAGCUUUUUGGGCCUCAGGGGUUUUUCCAUUAGCCCUCUGCUCUGUCUACCUCUGAUUCACUGUCCUUCCCUGGCCUUGGGUGAGGAGCACUCACCCUCCGGCCUGGGCCCUGCGGGAGCCGCAUCUGGGCCAGAAUGGAUGUGGCAUUGAGAUGGCAUUAUGACGGGGUAUAGGGAGACUCCAGUCCUGCCCGUGGCCACACUUCCUGGUCCUGGAGGGAGGUGUUUAUCCAGAAGACUAAGCAAGGCACCACUCUCUUUAUCAGGUAAGACUUGGACCCCAAUGUCAAAUUCUAGAAGGGUUGGUUUGAAUGACCUAGAGCCAGAACAGGCUUCAUUCAUCCCAUAAACACUGAGCACCUAAGAUGUCUGGCAGUGUUCUAGCUCCUGGGGUUACAGCGGUGAAUAGAAUCAAAGUGCCAGACCUCUAGGAGCUUACAUGCUGGGCGGGGCGGGGUGUGUGUGUGGGGGGGAGGGCGGGAAUCACACUAAUCAAAAUAACAUGGGACCUCCUGUACUGUACUCCCCAGCAUUCCCGCCCCCACUGGCCAUCCCCAGUCUUGGAUCUGAUCUCUGUGAUGGAAGGAUCAGUGUCAGACUCAGGAACAAGGGAGGGCAGUUGUUUCAGUGCCUCCUUAGAUGCGCCCCUCCACCCCCCACCCCGGGGCCCUGCUCCUGUAGGAAAGCAAAAUACUUUGUUCCAUCAUAGAGAAAACACCUUACCUGAGAGGGGAGGAGAGAGAGUGUGUGCAUGUGCUCAUCCGGCUGAGAGCCCUGGGUAACAGGGACCAUUGGAAAGAGCCACAUCCAGGUGUGCUCACGUGUGCAGAGCAUGCCCUUCGCAGGCUUCAGGGUGUGGAUCCUGGAGGCAGAGUAUCACCAGGAGCUCAGGAAAAAAGCAGAUUCUCACCCCACCCCAGUUGUUCAGAAUCCAAGUCGGCAGAUGAUUCCUAUGCACAUUAAAGUUUGAGAAGCAACAGGCUGGACUUAGACCAGGAGAAGAGAAAAGCUCCAUGCCCAGACCCAUAAUAAUUCCUCUUGGAGACGGGCUAGGAGAUGGAGUGUAGGGUAGGUGUGGGGUGGGG